GAACGCAUCUUGCGCCCCUUGGUAUUCCGAGGAGCAUGCCUGUUUGAGUGUCAUGUAGACUCAAUCCCUCGGGUUUCCGAGGAGAUUGGACUUGGGUGUUGCCGCUCUGCCGGCUCGCCUUAAAAGACUUAGCGGGAUAGCACCGUAGUCGGCGUAAUAAGUUUCGUCGGUGAAGGUUGUGAUGACUGCUUACAAUCGCCCUCGGGCAAUUUUUGACUCUGACCUCAAAUCAGGUAGGACUACCCGCUGAACUUAAG
Molecule: unclassified non-coding RNA, 257 nt
Filed under: uncultured Tremellomycetes
Lineage: Eukaryota; Fungi; Basidiomycota; Tremellomycetes
Description: sequence contains 5.8S rRNA gene
Source: RNAcentral